GACGAACGCUGGCGGCGUGCUUAACACAUGCAAGUCGAACGGAAAGGCCCUGCCUUUGUGGGGUGCUCGAGUGGCCACCGGGUGAGUUACACGUGAGUAACCUGCCCCUCACUUUGGGAUAACUUCAGAAAACUGGGGCUAAUAGCGGAUAGGAGCUACCGCUGCAUGGUGGGGGCUGGAAAGUUUCGGCGGUUGGGGGUGGACUCGCGGCUUAUCAGCUUGGUGGUGGGGUAGUGGCUUAGCAAGGCUUGGACGGGUAGCCGGCCUGCGAGGGUGACCGGCCACGUCGGGACUGGGCUAAGGCCCGGACUCGUACGGGAGGCAGCAGUGGGGAAGAUUGCACAAUGGGCGGAACCCUAAUGCAGCAACGCCGCGUGCGGGAUGAGGGCCAGCGGGUUGUAUUCCGCUUUCGCCUGUGACGAAGCGUGAGUGACGGUAAUGGGUAAAGAAGCACCGGCUAACUACGUG
Molecule: ribosomal RNA, 468 nt
Filed under: uncultured bacterium
Lineage: Bacteria
Description: partial 16S ribosomal RNA
Rfam family: Bacterial small subunit ribosomal RNA
Source: RNAcentral